RNAcentral lists this ribosomal RNA (564 nucleotides) under Pseudo-nitzschia calliantha. RNAcentral's name for it is "eukaryotic LSU rRNA". It matches the Rfam family "Eukaryotic large subunit ribosomal RNA", at positions 1 to 579 of the family's 3401-position model. Lineage: Eukaryota; Bacillariophyta; Bacillariophyceae; Bacillariales; Bacillariaceae. The record is from RNAcentral.
CCGGAUCUCAGAUCAAGUAAGAUUACCCGCCGAAUUUAAGCAUAUAAUUAAGCGGAGGAAAAGAAACUAACUAGGAUUCCCUCAGUAACGGCGAGUGAAGCGGGAUGAGCUCAGGAUGUAAAUCUGCGCUAUUAAAGCGCCGAAUUGUGGUCUGUAGACUUUGGUGUUAUCUGCCGGGCCAAGUUCCUUGGAAAAGGACAGCUGAGAGGGUGAGACUCCCGUCCGCCUGGUAGAGUGAGCCUUUGUCAAAGAGUCGAGUUGUUUGGGAUUGCAGCUCUAAUUUGGUGGUAAAUUCCAUCUAAAGCUAAAUAUUGGUGGGAGACCGAUAGCGUACAAGUACCGUGAGGGAAAGAUGCAAAGAACUUUGAAAAGAGAGUUAAAGAGUACCUGAAAUUGCUGAAACGGAAGCGAAGGAAACCAGUGUUUGUUUGUUCAUAUUUCCCUGACCACUUGUGGUUUGGGCGCUGUGGGCUUGCGUCGGUUUGCUUUGGUUAAUCCCUUUGGAAGAGCGCAGUCAGAGUUGAUGUCUGUUGCUAGCACUGGGUUUGACUUGAGUAGACGAAA